RNAcentral lists this non-coding RNA (30 nucleotides) under Mus musculus (house mouse). Lineage: Eukaryota; Metazoa; Chordata; Mammalia; Rodentia; Muridae. The record is from RNAcentral.
UGAGCAAAACCGGCGCCUUUCUCCACCACU